RNAcentral lists this long non-coding RNA (4713 nucleotides) under Betta splendens (Siamese fighting fish). RNAcentral's name for it is "lncRNA (ENSBSLG00000018658.1)". The record is from RNAcentral. Lineage: Eukaryota; Metazoa; Chordata; Actinopteri; Anabantiformes; Osphronemidae.
AUGUCACACCGUCUGCCCGUGUCCUGCCCCGUCUUCUGCCCCAUCAGCCCGUCUCCUGCCCGUCUGCCCGUCUCCUGCCUCGUCUGCCCGUCUUCUGCCCCAUCAGCCCGUCUUCUGCCCGUCUUCUGCCCGUCUCCUGCCCGUCUCCUGCCCCAUCUGCCCGUCUCCUGCCCCGUCUGCCCGUCUUCUGCCCCAUCAGCCUGUCUCCUGCCCAUCUUCUGCCACCAUCAGCCCGUCUCCUGCCCGUCUCCUGUUCCAUCAGCCCGUCUCCUGCCCCAUCAGCCCGUCUUCUGCCCGUCUCCUGCCCGUCUUCUGCCCCGUCUGCCUGUCUCCUGCCCGUCUGCCCGUCUCCUGCCUCGUCUGCCCGUCUUCUGCCCCAUCAGCCCGUCUUCUGCCCGUCUCCUGCCCGUCUCCUGCCCCAUCUGCCCGUCUCCUGCCCCGUCUGCCUGUCUUCUGCCCCAUCAGCCUGUCUCCUGCCCAUCUUCUGCCCCAUCAGCCCGUCUCCUGCCCAUCUUCUGCCACCAUCAGCCCGUCUCCUGCCCGUCUCCUGUUCCAUCAGCCCGUCUCCUGUCCCAUCAGCCCGUCUCCUGCCCCAUCAGCCCGUCUUCUGCCCGUCUUCUGCCCCAUCAGCCCGUCUCCUGCCCGUCUCCUGCCCCGUCUGCCCGUCUUCUGCCCCGUCUGCCUGUCUCCUGCCCCGUCUCCUGUCCCAUCAGCCCGUCUCCUGCCCCGUCUGCCCGUCUUCUGCCCCAUCAGCCUGUCUCCUGCCCGUCUUCUGCCCCAUCAGCCCGUCUCCUGCCCGUCUUCUGCCACCAUCAGCCCGUCUCCUUCCCGUCUCCUGUUCCAUCAGCCCGUCUCCUGCCCGUCUCCUGUUCCAUCAGCCCGUCUCCUGUCCCAUCAGCCCGUCUCCUGCCCCAUCAGCCCAUCUUCUGCCCGUCUCCUGCCCGUCUUCUGCCCCAUCAGCCCGUCUCCUGCCCGUCUCCUGCCCCGUCUGCCCGUCUCCUGCCCCAUCUGCCCGUCUUCUGCCCGUCUCCUGCCCGUCUAUUGCCCUAUCAGCCCGUCUCCUGCCCCGUCUGCCCGUCUCCUAUCUCGUCUGCCUGUCUUCUGCCCCAUCAGCCCGUCUCCUGCCCGUCUUCUGCCCCAUCAGCCCGUCUCCUGCCCGUCUCCUGUACCAUCAGCCCGUCUCCUGCCCCAUCAGCCCGUCUUCUGCCCGUCUCCUGCCCGUCUUCUGCCCCAUCAGCCCGUCUUCUGCCCGUCUUCUGCCCCAUCAGCCCGUCUCCUGCCCGUCUCCUGCCCCAUCAGCCUGUCUUCUGCCCGUCUCCUGCCCGUCUCCUGCCUCGUCUGCCCGUCUCCUGCCCCAUCAGCCCGUCUCCUGCCCCGUCUGCCCGUUUCCUGCUCCAUCAAUCAGUCUCCUGCCCGUCUUCUGCCCCAUCAGCCCGUCUCCUGCCCAUCUCCUGCCCCGUCUGCCCGUCUUCUGCCCCGUCUGCCUGUCUCCUGCCCCGUCUCCUGUCCCAUCAGCCCGUCUCCUGCCCCGUCUGCCCGUCUUCUGCCCCAUCAGCCUGUCUCCUGCCCGUCUUCUGCCCCAUCAGCCCGUCUCCUGCCCGUCUUCUGCCACCAUCAGCCCGUCUCCUGCCCGUCUCCUGUUCCAUCAGCCCGUCUCCUGCCCGUCUCCUGUUCCAUCAGCCCGUCUCCUGCCCCAUCAGCCCGUCUUCUGCCCGUCUCCUGCCCGUCUUCUGCCCCAUCAGCCCGUCUCCUGCCCGUCUCCUGCCCCGUCUGCCCGUCUCCUGCCCCAUCUGCCCGUCUUCUGCCCGUCUCCUGCCCGUCUAUUGCCCUAUCAGCCCGUCUCCUGCCCCGUCUGCCCGUCUCCUAUCUCGUCUGCCCGUCUUCUGCCCCAUCAGCCCGUCUCCUGCCCGUCUCCUGCCCGUCUCCUGUUCCAUCAGCCCGUCUCCUGUCCCAUCAGCCCGUCUCCUGCCCCAUCAGCCCGUCUUCUGCCCGUCUCCUGCCCGUCUUCUGCCCCAUCAGCCCGUCUCCUGCCCAUCUCCUGCCCCAUCUGCCCGUCUUCUGCCCCGUCUGCCUGUCUCCUGCCCCGUCUCCUGUCCCAUCAGCCCGUCUCCUGCCCCGUCUGCCCGUCUUCUGCCCCAUCAGCCUGUCUCCUGCCCGUCUUCUGCCACCAUCAGCCCGUCUCCUGCCCGUCUUCUGCCACCAUCAGCCCGUCUCCUGCCCGUCUCCUGUUCCAUCAGCCCGUCUCCUGCCCGUCUCCUGUUCCAUCAGCCCAUCUCCUGCCCGUCUCCUGUUCCAUCAGCCCGUCUCCUGUCCCAUCAGCCCGUCUCCUGCCCCAUCAGCCCAUCUUCUGCCUGUCUCCUGCCCGUCUUCUGCCCCAUCAGCCCGUCUCCUGCCCGUCUCCUGCCCCGUCUGCCCGUCUCCUGCCCCAUCUGCCCGUCUUCUGCCCGUCUCCUGCCCGUCUAUUGCCCUAUCAGCCCGUCUCCUGCCUGUCUCCUGCCCCGUCUGCCCGUCUCCUGCCCCAUCUGCCCGUCUUCUGCCCGUCUCCUGCCCGUCUAUUGCCCUAUCAGCCCGUCUCCUGCCUGUCUCCUGCCCCGUCUGCCCGUCUCCUAUCUCGUCUGCCCGUCUUCUGCCCCAUCAGCCUGUCUUCUGCCCGUUUUCUGCCCCAUCAGCCUGUCUUCUGCCCGUCUUCUGCCCCAUCAGCCUGUCUUCUGCCCGUCUUCUGCCCCAUUAGCCCGUCUCCUGCCCGUCUCCUGCCCGUCUAUUGCCCGUCUCCUGCCCCAUCAAUCAGUCUCCUGCCCCGUCUGCCCGUCUCCUGCCCGUCUCCUGUUCCAUCAGCCCGUCUCCUGCCCGUCUCCUGUUCCAUCAGCCCGUCUCCUGUCCCAUCAGCCCGUCUCCUGCCCCAUCAGCCCGUCUUCUGCCCGUCUCCUGCCCGUCUUCUGCCCCAUCAGCCCGUCUCCUGCCCGUCUUCUGCCCCAUCAGCCCGUCUCCUGCCCGUCUUCUGCCACCAUCAGCCCGUCUCCUUCCCGUCUCCUGUUCCAUCAGCCCGUCUCCUGCCCGUCCCCUGUUCCAUCAGCCCGUCUCCUGUCCCAUCAGCCCGUCUCCUGCCCCAUCAGCCCAUCUUCUGCCCGUCUCCUGCUCGUCUUCUGCCCUAUCAGCCCGUCUCCUGCCCGUCUCCUGCCCCAUCUGCCCGUCUUCUGCCCGUCUCCUGCCCGUCUAUUGCCCUAUCAGCCCGUCUCCUGCCCCGUCUGCCCGUCUCCUAUCUCGUCUGCCUGUCUUCUGCCCCAUCAGCCCGUCUCCUGCCCGUCUUCUGCCCCAUCAGCCCGUCUCCUGCCCGUCUCCUGUACCAUCAGCCCGUCUCCUGCCCCAUCAGCCCGUCUUCUGCCCGUCUCCUGCCCGUCUUCUGCCCCAUCAGCCCGUCUUCUGCCCGUCUUCUGCCCCAUCAGCCCGUCUCCUGCCCGUCUCCUGCCCCAUCAGCCUGUCUCCUGCCUCGUCUGCCCGUCUCCUGCCCCAUCAGCCCGUCUCCUGCCCCGUCUGCCCGUUUCCUGCUCCAUCAAUCAGUCUCCUGCCCGUCUUCUGCCCCAUCAGCCCGUCUCCUGCCCAUCUCCUGCCCCGUCUGCCCGUCUUCUGCCCCGUCUGCCUGUCUCCUGCCCCGUCUCCUGUCCCAUCAGCCCGUCUCCUGCCCCAUCUGCCCGUCUUCUGCCCCAUCAGCCUGUCUCCUGCCCGUCUUCUGCCCCAUCAGCCCGUCUCCUGCCCGUCUUCUGCCACCAUCAGCCCGUCUCCUGCCCGUCUCCUGUUCCAUCAGCCCGUCUCCUGCCCGUCUCCUGUUCCAUCAGCCCGUCUCCUGUCCCAUCAGCCCGUCUCCUGCCCCAUCAGCCCGUCUUCUGCCCGUCUCCUGCCCGUCUUCUGCCCCAUCAGCCCAUCAGCCUGUCUCCUGCCCGUCUUCUGCCACCAUCAGCCCGUCUCCUGCCCGUCUCCUGUUCCAUCAGCCCGUCUCCUGCCCGUCUCCUGUUCCAUCAGCCCAUCUCCUGCCCGUCUCCUGUUCCAUCAGCCCGUCUCCUGUCCCAUCAGCCCGUCUCCUGCCCCAUCAGCCCGUCUUCUGUCUGUCUCCUGCCCGUCUUCUGCCCCAUCAGCCCGUCUCCUGCCCGUCUCCUGCCCCGUCUGCCCGUCUCCUGCCCCAUCUGCCCGUCUUCUGCCCGUCUCCUGCCCGUCUAUUGCCCUAUCAGCCCGUCUCCUGCCUGUCUCCUGCCCCGUCUGCCCGUCUCCUGCCCCAUCUGCCCGUCUUCUGCCCGUCUCCUGCCCGUCUAUUGCCCUAUCAGCCCGUCUCCUGCCUGUCUCCUGCCCCGUCUGCCCGUCUCCUAUCUCGUCUGCCCGUCUUCUGCCCCAUCAGCCUGUCUUCUGCCCGUCUUCUGCCCCAUUAGCCCGUCUCCUGCCCGUCUCCUGCCCGUCUAUUGCCCGUCUCCUGCCCCAUCAAUCAGUCUCCUGCCCCGUCUGCCCGUCUCCUGCCCUUUCAACCUUCUUCACUCCGUCCCUCCACUCCAUCUCAGCCGUAUCUGUCUUUUUCCAUUUGCACUCCUCCAUCUGCCCUCUUCUAAUCCCUCUCAGCGCCAGCUCAGAUCUGACAUUUGGUUUCAUGCUGCAAGCAGCAGGACAGAUAGAAAGUCAGAUAAAGGGAGCAGCACGGAAGGGGACGGGACAGACAGCCGGUACUGGUAG